CUCGGCCACCCAGCUGUCGAUGUCGAUACCCGACUUCUCCGUCGCCAGCUCCCAGUCGCCCAACAGUAUGUUGUUCGCCGGUGAGAUGUACUAGGCUGGUAGCAUCAGUUUCGUCGUGGUCGUCGUCCCCGUUCUCCAUAAGUUGACACUACCUACACCGGCUGAAAACUGACUUGAACUGAAUGUGGUUUGUUCUGCUGGCCCUCGAGCCCAUCCACUGUGCUUGCCGUAGCACCUCAACCUUAUAUGGUUCUAUAGUUUAUCAGUAUUUGCCGUGUGAGAUUUGUACCGACAAGAACAAGAAUGAAAAGCUUCAUCCUGGCAUCGUUUUCCUUGAGCUAUACGUGUUCAACUAACUAGCUAACAUGGUGCUUACUCGCUUUAUUAUCGGAGAAAAAACUGACUCGGUUGACGUUUGAGACG
This 423-nucleotide long non-coding RNA is filed under the name Hordeum vulgare. Its description in RNAcentral is "long non-coding RNA (HVUL_LNC016526)". The record is from RNAcentral. Lineage: Eukaryota; Viridiplantae; Streptophyta; Magnoliopsida; Poales; Poaceae.